GACGAACGCUGGCGGCGUGCUUAACACAUGCAAGUCGAACGGGCAUGCCCUGCUUUGGUUGGGUGCUCGGGUGACGAACGGGUGAGUACCUCGUGAGUCACCUCCCCUUUACUUUGGGAUAACUUCAGGGAACUGGUGCUAAUACCGGUUAUGAGCUCGUGCUGCGUGGUGGGGGUUGGAGGUUUUCGGCGGUUGGGGGUGGACUCGCGGGGUUUCAGCUUGUUGGUGGGGUCGUGGCUUACCAAGGCUUUGACGGGUAGCCGGCCUGAGAGGGUGAACGGCGACAUUGGGACUGAGAUAGGGCCAAGACGCCGUCGGGAGGCAGCAGUGGGGAAUAGUGGACUAUGGGCGGAAGCCUGAGGCAGCAACGCCGGGUGUGGGAUGGCGGCCUUCUGGUGGUAGUCCGGUUUCGCCUGUGAUGAAGCGUGAGUGAUGUAGAUGGGUAAAGAAGCACCGGCUAACUACGUG
This 468-nucleotide ribosomal RNA is filed under the name uncultured bacterium. Its description in RNAcentral is "partial 16S ribosomal RNA". It matches the Rfam family "Bacterial small subunit ribosomal RNA", at positions 28 to 507 of the family's 1533-position model. The record is from RNAcentral.